RNAcentral lists this ribosomal RNA (1333 nucleotides) under Bacillus subtilis. RNAcentral describes it as "bacterial SSU rRNA". It matches the Rfam family "Bacterial small subunit ribosomal RNA", at positions 21 to 1336 of the family's 1533-position model. The record is from RNAcentral. Lineage: Bacteria; Bacillati; Bacillota; Bacilli; Caryophanales; Bacillaceae.
GGCUCAGGACGAACGCUGGCGGCGUGCCUAAUACAUGCAAGUCGAGCGGACAGAUGGGAGCUUGCUCCCUGAUGUUAGCGGCGGACGGGUGAGUAACACGUGGGUAACCUGCCUGUAAGACUGGGAUAACUCCGGGAAACCGGGGCUAAUACCGGAUGGUUGUUUGAACCGCAUGGUUCAAACAUAAAAGGUGGCUUCGGCUACCACUUACAGAUGGACCCGCGGCGCAUUAGCUAGUUGGUGAGGUAACGGCUCACCAAGGCAACGAUGCGUAGCCGACCUGAGAGGGUGAUCGGCCACACUGGGACUGAGACACGGCCCAGACUCCUACGGGAGGCAGCAGUAGGGAAUCUUCCGCAAUGGACGAAAGUCUGACGGAGCAACGCCGCGUGAGUGAUGAAGGUUUUCGGAUCGUAAAGCUCUGUUGUUAGGGAAGAACAAGUACCGUUCGAAUAGGGCGGUACCUUGACGGUACCUAACCAGAAAGCCACGGCUAACUACGUGCCAGCAGCCGCGGUAAUACGUAGGUGGCAAGCGUUGUCCGGAAUUAUUGGGCGUAAAGGGCUCGCAGGCGGUUUCUUAAGUCUGAUGUGAAAGCCCCCGGCUCAACCGGGGAGGGUCAUUGGAAACUGGGGAACUUGAGUGCAGAAGAGGAGAGUGGAAUUCCACGUGUAGCGGUGAAAUGCUGUAGAGAUGUGGAGGAACACCAGUGGCGAAGGCGACUCUCUGGUCUGUAACUGACGCUGAGGAGCGAAAGCGUGGGGAGCGAACAGGAUUAGAUACCCUGGUAGUCCACGCCGUAAACGAUGAGUGCUAAGUGUUAGGGGGUUUCCGCCCCUUAGUGCUGCAGCUAACGCAUUAAGCACUCCGCCUGGGGAGUACGGUCGCAAGACUGAAACUCAAAGGAAUUGACGGGGGCCCGCACAAGCGGUGGAGCAUGUGGUUUAAUUCGAAGCAACGCGAAGAACCUUACCAGGUCUUGACAUCCUCUGACAAUCCUAGAGAUAGGACGUCCCCUUCGGGGGCAGAGUGACAGGUGGUGCAUGGUUGUCGUCAGCUCGUGUCGUGAGAUGUUGGGUUAAGUCCCGCAACGAGCGCAACCCUUGAUCUUAGUUGCCAGCAUUCAGUUGGGCACUCUAAGGUGACUGCCGGUGACAAACCGGAGGAAGGUGGGGAUGACGUCAAAUCAUCAUGCCCCUUAUGACCUGGGCUACACACGUGCUACAAUGGACAGAACAAAGGGCAGCGAAACCGCGAGGUUAAGCCAAUCCCACAAAUCUGUUCUCAGUUCGGAUCGCAGUCUGCAACUCGACUGCGUGAAGCUGGAAUCGCU